This 71-nucleotide transfer RNA is filed under the name Lycoris squamigera (surprise lily). RNAcentral describes it as "tRNA-Gly". The stretch from base 1 to 49 matches the Rfam family "tRNA", at positions 23 to 71 of the family's 71-position model. Rfam says of the family: Transfer RNA (tRNA) molecules are approximately 80 nucleotides in length. Their secondary structure includes four short double-helical elements and three loops (D, anti-codon, and T loops). RNAcentral also lists the same sequence under 27 other names. The record is from RNAcentral. Lineage: Eukaryota; Viridiplantae; Streptophyta; Magnoliopsida; Asparagales; Amaryllidaceae.
AUUUCUCUUUGCCAAGGAGAAGAUGCGGGUUCGAUCCCCGCUAUCCGCCCAUGAUGAAGUAAUGUACUAUG